CUAACUGUUUAGAAACAUCUAGUUAUGAUAGACUCAUACCUAACUGCUUAGAAUUACCUAUCAUUACAAGCUCAACUAUAUCAUAAAGUAUCUCCCAACUCACUCUGCUUUGCUGAGCCUUUAA
Populus trichocarpa (black cottonwood) is the source of this 124-nucleotide non-coding RNA. The record is from Rfam. NCBI's taxonomy places the organism in Eukaryota, Viridiplantae, Streptophyta, Magnoliopsida, Malpighiales, Salicaceae.